This 518-nucleotide ribosomal RNA is filed under the name Pantoea sp. Mi280. Its description in RNAcentral is "bacterial SSU rRNA". It matches the Rfam family "Bacterial small subunit ribosomal RNA", at positions 90 to 604 of the family's 1533-position model. The record is from RNAcentral. Lineage: Bacteria; Pseudomonadati; Pseudomonadota; Gammaproteobacteria; Enterobacterales; Erwiniaceae.
GACGAGUGGCGGACGGGUGAGUACUGUCUGGGGAUCUGCCCGAUAGAGGGGGAUAACCACUGGAAACGGUGGCUAAUACCGUAUAAUGUCGCAAGACCAAAGAGGGGGACCUUCGGGCCUCUCACUAUCGGAUGAACCCAUAUGGGAUUAUCUAAUAGGCGGGGUAGUGGCCCACCUAGGCGACGAUCCCUAUCUGGUCUGAGAGGAUGACCACCCACAGUGGAACUGAGACACGGUCCACACUCCUACGGGAGGCAGCAGUGGGGAAUAUUGCACAAUGGGCGCAAGCCUGAUGCACCCAUGCCGUGUGUAUGAAAAAGGCCUUCGGGUUGUAAAGUACUUUCAGCGGAGAAGAAGGCGGUGCGGUUAAUAACCGUGUCUAUUGACGUUACCCGCAAAAGAAGCACCGGAUAACUCCGUGCCAGCAGCCGGGGUAAUACGGAGGGUGCAAGCGUUAAUCGGAAUUACUGGGCGUAAAGCGCACGCAGGCGGUCUGUUAACUCAUAUGUGAAAUCCCC